RNAcentral lists this long non-coding RNA (3790 nucleotides) under Solanum tuberosum (potato). RNAcentral describes it as "long non-coding RNA (STUB_LNC007891)". The record is from RNAcentral. Lineage: Eukaryota; Viridiplantae; Streptophyta; Magnoliopsida; Solanales; Solanaceae.
CAGUGCUCAAUACUACUCCCAAUAAAUAUAUACUCAUGCUAAAAUGUAUAAAACAUAUUCUUUCUCAAUUUUGAGGUAAUUUCUCAAAAUAUCCUCUUUAAAGAGGUAAUGCUCUGAAAUAUCUCUAAACUCGUUAACUCAUUUAGAAAUCAAAAUAUCUUUUUUCUCAAUGUAAAAAAGUGAUACAUUUGGGAAUACUUAGUUCCCUUAUACUCUUACUCAAAUCAUGUUUAAAUCUCUUUCUCAAAACUCAUCUUUACUUUCUCCAAAGAUCAGUUUAAGACAAAAAUAUUUACUUUAAAAGAUUCUCAAAAAUUAUAACUCAAAAUAGGGUUCAUGCUGAAAUAUAAACAUGAACACCUCAACUCAAGGAUCUCAAUAACAAUAUAGAAAAUUCAAUACUAAGAAAUCCAAAACUCACAACUCAAUGAUACUACUCAUCUCAAGAAUACUCAAAAUUCAUGAUAAAAUCCUAGAUUACUCUUUUACUGAAUUUAGAUAGAUGUAAGGCGUGAGGACGAACAUAGUUCGCCACUAUGAUAGCCUUACAUACUUGGAAGAACAAAGUUCUUGGUGAAAUAGGUGAAAACUCGGAGAACGCUUAAAACCUUAGAUUUCUCCUCUUGGAUCAUUGCUCUAAGACUUGGAAGCGCGUUAAUGAACGUAAAAGGAUUGAUUAACACUGUUCAAACCCUUAACUUGGUGUAAAAAUAUCGUGGUUUAGACUUAGAAGAGGUGGGAAAAGACUAAACUAUCCCUCUUUAAAACUAACGAAAACCUUCCACAUGUCCAUCUACGAUUCGUGGUUUGAUCUACGGACCGUAGAUCCCAUCUGUGGAAUUUAUAUUGAAUUUUAAGGCUCAAAAUUUUAUUAUAUUAGUCCAAUCUACAUACUACAUGUAAACCUCCUUAAAAUAUGUGAAUUCCAAUAGUACUCGGGGAUCACAAGCGUAUAGCAUUUUGUGUUUUGUUAAUCCUCUUGGUAAAAUUCAUGAUUUUAAUGUUACUUAUAAGAUAAUGUUGAAUUCUCAUACAAAUAAUCGAGUCCUGGGUAUGGAGAAAAUCCUGUUGGGAGCGCCACCCCCGAAUGGGCGCUGCAGUGCGCAAUUCGAAUUUUAGUCGGAACUCCAAUGUGGGCUCCGGACACCAAAUGGGAAACCAAAAAGACUUUUUCAAAAGGAGCUAACUCCAAGUGAUGUUGGAUUUUAUAGGCUUAUAUACCUANNNNNNNNNNNNNNNNNNNNNNNNNNNNNNNNNNNNNNNNNNNNNNNNNNNNNNNNNNNNNNNNNNNNNNNNNNNNNNNNNNNNNNNNNNNNNNNNNNNNUUGUGUGUGUUUGAUUGGGCUGAAUAAUGUAGAAUUAUAUUGAAAUUAAAUUUGCAGGUGGGCAACAGAAGCUGAGUACUGCUACUGUCAAAAAUAUUGCAGAAAAAGCGACGGACAGCGUGGUUUAGUCUGUCGCUUUUUUGAGUUUUAAUUUUUUUUAAAACCCAGAAAAGUGAUGGACAGCGUGGUUUUUUCCGUCGUUUUUUUUAGGUUUUUUUAAAAAAAUUCAAAAAAAAAAAGUCGAAAAGCGACUCAGUCCGUCGCUAAAAGAGACGCAGUCCGUCUCUAAAAGCGACGCAGUCACUUCCGUCGCUUUUUAGCUCGUCGCUUUUCAAAAAGCGACGGACUGCGUCGCCCUGUAGAAAUUAAAAAAAAAUGAAAACUAAAAUAAAGCGACGGACUCCGUCACUUUUUUAAAAAAAUUCAAAAAAAAAAAGUCGAAAAGCGACUCAGUCCGUCGCUAAAAGAGACGCAGUCCGUCUCUAAAAGCGACGCAGUCCGUCGCUUUUUGAAAAGCGACGAGCUAAAAAGCGACGGAAGUGACUGCGUCGCUUUUCCGUCAAUUUUGACCAAAAAAGCGACGCAGUCCGUCACUUUUGCCCGUCGUUUUUCCACAAUUUUUUAGUAGUGGGAGUCGGCACUUCGCCAAAUAGUUCCACGAAGCAGUACUAUAUCGCCCAAUGGUCUAGAAUGUGAAGAUGCUGAAGGCAAUCACGAAACACCGAUGAGACAGACGAAGGGCGAGUCGCCGAAGUCAUUUGGCGAUAUCGACUAACUUCACCGAAAGAUCAGUCAGCGUUAUUUUUUGAAGUCUAUAAAUACUGAACUUGUUAUUCAUUUUAAAGAGUCGAACAUUUAUUUUAAUUUCCAUAAUAGAAUAAUACUUUUUGGAUAUUUUUCUCUCAAGUUUAGAGAGGGUUUUUCGGGAGACUUGAAGAAAGAAGGAUUUCAUCUUUCCCAAGUUGGAAGUGGGUCUUCUCCAUUCUUCUUCCUUUGCUUAAAUUAAGGUUUAAUUUCUUAUACCCAUUUGAUUUUACUAUCAUUUUAGGUGUAUUUUGUUAUUUCUUGAUGUGUGGCUAAAAACCCUUUCACCUAGUAGUUGUGGUUUAAUCUAAAGGGUUUGUAGUUGCAAAUACAAAGCCACCCAUGUCUUUUCGGCUUGCCCGAGAGGGAGGUCGCAAAACCAAGACCACUGACCUAAGGGUGGUAACGGGUCUGGGUUUGGUAGGUCGGAACGACUGGAAUCAGGAUGACUCUAGUCGGGUUUCUUCCGGGACUAGGAUCAAUCGGGUCGCGAUAUUCGGGAUGAAAUGGAAGUCCCCUCCUGUCACUUCUGAGCCAACACCUUAGAUGUGGCCGACACUUGAGAACCAUUGUUGGUCCUCAAGCGAACCCUUAGCAUGGCUAACUACUUAGCGAAAAACUAACUCAAGCAGAAUCAAGCUUUAAACAGAAUUAGACCUUUUAAUCUCAAAGUACUCGAAUGUCUCAAAAUACUCCAAAAACAAGAAUUGUUGAAAUACAAUUUAACAAAGAAAUACAAAAAAUAUAUUCAAAACUAAAUAUCUAUGAAGCCUCUGUUGUUCCAGAUGGAAGUUGAGACAAGAUCCACGACACCUCAAAAUAACUAACUAAAAGAUAAAAGUAGAGUCUUCUAGAAUGCAAGGAGGCUCACCAAAGCUAACUGGAAGUGCAAGUGAUCUCAACGAAGCGCCUGUUGAUGAUCCUGAACACCUGUAUAUGUAUUAUAAAACGAUACAGGUCGAAUGCUAUCAGUACAUUGAAUGUAUGAGUAUGUAAUAUCGCGAAAGAAAAUACCUGAAUGAUUGGACUACAAUAGAUAUAAAUAUAUACUCAACUUUAAGUAAAGAAAUAAAAGAGUGAAAACAUUUAAACUUUACAAAUACUUACUCAUCUCUGAACUCAACAUAUUAAGUGAUAUGAUAAAAAUACACUUUUAACCCUAUCUAGGAGAUUUUCUAACCGAUGACCAUCACUAUGAGCAACGCAAUGGUACAACGUCUCGCUCAUGCUGCUAGAACUGUCCUAUACCUUGCGGGGAUAUAGAACAUCUCAACUAAGUGGAUCCACUAAGGCUCUGCUUGAAAGCAAUAAGGAGUCGUCUAAAAAGUACGAUCUUUUACCCAUGUUGGCUACAUGGUUUAUGAGGAAUGUGAGUUGUCUGAACUCAUCCUCAUAUCAGUGCUCAAUACUACUCCCAAUAAAUAUAUACUCAUGCUAAAAUGUAUAAAACAUAUUCUUUCUCAAUUUUGAGGUAAUUUCUCAAAAUAUCCUCUUUAAAGAGGUAAUGCUCUGAAAUAUCUCUAAACUCGUUAACUCAUUUAGAAAUCAAAAUAUCUUUUUUCUCAAUGUAAAAAAGUGAUACAUUUGGGAAUACUUAGUUCCCUUAUACUCUUACUCAAAUCAUGUUUAAAUCUCUUUCUCAAAACUCAUCUUUACUUUCUC